This is a long non-coding RNA of Nilaparvata lugens (brown planthopper), 147 nucleotides long. RefSeq lists it as uncharacterized. The record is from RefSeq and is a predicted model, not a curated record. The transcript has 3 exons. Lineage: Eukaryota; Metazoa; Arthropoda; Insecta; Hemiptera; Delphacidae.
AGCUGAUUAUAUUAGUGUGAAAUGGGUAAGAAAAAAUAUGAUAGAUAAUUUUUGCAGCUAUGCCAAACUUUCAAAUUGCUCUCCUGAAAAGUUUACAAAUCAUGACUUAUCAGCUUGUGUUAUGUACCCACAGAACUAUUCUCUAUG